AGUGAACGCUGGCGGUAGGCCUAACACAUGCAAGUCGAACGGCAGCACAGUAAGGGCUUGCUCUUAGGGGGGGGGCGGGGCGGCCGGGUGGGAAAUACAUCGGAAUCUGCUUUUAGGUGGGGGAUAACGUAGGAAAACUUACGCUAAUACCCGAAACAACCUACGGGUGAAAUCAGGGGAUUUUCGGCCCUUGCUCGGUUGAUUGGGCCGAUGUCGGGUGAGCAAGUUGGCGGGGUAAAGCCCCUCCAAGGGGAUGAUCCGCAGCUGGUCUGAGGGGAUAGUCGUCUAGCUGGGAACUGAGAAACGGUCCAGACUCCUGCGGGAGGCCGCAGUGGGGAAUAUUGGGCAAUGGGCGAAAGACUGAUCCAGCCAUACCGCGUGGGUGAAGAAGGCCUUCGGGUUGUAAAGCCCUUUUGUUGGGAAAGAAAAGCAGCAGGUUAAUACCCCGAUGUUCUGACGGUACCCAAAGAAUAAGCACCGGCUAACUUCGUG
RNAcentral lists this ribosomal RNA (492 nucleotides) under uncultured bacterium. RNAcentral's name for it is "partial 16S ribosomal RNA". It matches the Rfam family "Bacterial small subunit ribosomal RNA", at positions 29 to 507 of the family's 1533-position model. The record is from RNAcentral.